GUUAUAGUUUAUUUGAUAUAUUAAAUGGAUAACUGUAGAAAAACUAGAGCUAAUACAUGCCGAAGCCGCAAGGUUGUAUUUAUUAGAUAUUCCAAUUAGGUGAAUCAUGAUAACUUUUCAAAUCUCGGUUUUGCCGAGAUAAAUCAUCCAAGUUUCUGCCCUAUCAUGCUUUCGAUGGUAGUGUAUUGGACUACCAUGGCUUUCACGGGUAACAGGGAAUUAGGGUUCGAUUCUGGAGAAGGAGCCUGAGAAACGGCUACUACAUCUACGGAAGGCAGCAGGCGCGUAAAUUACCCAAUCCUGACUCAGGGAGGUGGUGACAAGAUAUAACAACGCAAUUUAAUUGUGAUUGUAGUGAGGGUUUUCCAAACCGAACCACUAGUACGAUUAGAGGGCAAGUCUGGUGCCAGCAGCCGCGGUAAUUCCAGCUCUAAUAGCGUAUAUUAAAGUUGCUGCAGUUAAAAAGCUCGUAGUUGGAUUUCAAGGAUUGUGUACUCUUCUAGGGUAUGCACCCUACUAGUCUUUGACUGUUACUGUGAGAAAAUUAGAGUGUUUAAAGCAGGCAAUUGCAAGAAUACAUUAGCAUGGAAUAACGAAUGUAUCUAGAAUCUUGGUUAAUUCUAGGUUUCGAUUAAUAGAGACAGUUGGGGGCAUUAGUAUUUAAUUGUCAGAGGUGAAAUUCUUGGAUUUGUUAAAGACUAACGUAUGCGAAAGCAUUUGCCAAGGAUGUUUUCAUUAAUCAAGAACGA
This 749-nucleotide ribosomal RNA is filed under the name Dasytricha ruminantium. RNAcentral's name for it is "SSU rRNA". It matches the Rfam family "Eukaryotic small subunit ribosomal RNA", at positions 109 to 986 of the family's 1831-position model. Lineage: Eukaryota; Ciliophora; Litostomatea; Vestibuliferida; Isotrichidae. The record is from RNAcentral.